CACCGCCUGGGGAGUACGACCGCAAGGUUAAAACUCAAAUGAAUUGACGGGGACCCGCACAAGUAGUGGAGCAUGUGGUUUAAUUCGAAGAUACGCGCAGAACCUUACCAACACUUGACAUGUUCGUCGCGACUUUAAGAGAUUAAAGUUUUCGGUUCGGCCGGACGAAACACAGGUGCUGCAUGGCUGUCGUCAGCUCGUGUCGUGAGAUGUUGGGUUAAGUCCCGCAACGAGCGCAACCCUCACUUUUAGUUGCCAUCAUUUAGUUGGGCACUCUGAAAGAACUGCCAGUGAUAAGCUGGAGGAAGGUGGGGAUGACGUCAAGUCCUCAUGGCCCUUACGUGUUGGGCUACACACGUGCUACAAUGGUAUCUACAACAGGAAGCAAGACGGCGACGUUAAGCAAAUCCUUAAAAGAUACCUCAGUUCGGAUUGCACUCUGCAACUCGAGUGCAUGAAGCUGGAAUUACUAGUAAUCGUGGAUCAGCGUGCCACGGUGAAUGCGUUCCCGGGUCUUGUACACACCGCCCGUCACACCAUGGGAGUUGGUUCUACCUUAAGGCAAGGUUUAAAACCCUUGACCACGGUAUAGUCAGCGACUGGGGUGAAGUCGUAACAAGGUAGCCGUAGGGGAACCUGCGGCUGGAUUACCUCCUUUCUAAGGAUGAGUGAAAUUUUUUCACUCUAAAUAAUAUACAGGUAAUGUUGACCGUCCUCAUUUCUCUUCUUAAAGUUAGUGUUUCUCUUGCAUGGGGGCCGGUAGCUCAGUUGGUUAGAGCACACCCUUGAUAAGGGUGGGGUCGAAAGUUCGAGUCUUUCUCGGCCCACCAAUUUAAGAUCUUGGGGGAUUAGCUCAGCUGGGAGAGCGCCUGAUUUGCAUUCAGGAGGUCAGCGGUUCGAUCCCGCUAUCCUCCACCAAACACUUAGUUAUAAAAUAUCGUUAAAAUAAAUAAUUAAUAUCAAUAUCUAUAUCCGAACAUUAGUAGUGUUAUUAGCUAAUGUUCAAAAUAAAAAUUUGAUUCAACACAGAAUUUUUUUCUG
RNAcentral lists this small RNA (1041 nucleotides) under uncultured Pelagibacterales bacterium. RNAcentral describes it as "bacterial SSU rRNA". The stretch from base 1 to 658 matches the Rfam family "Bacterial small subunit ribosomal RNA", at positions 867 to 1533 of the family's 1533-position model. The record is from RNAcentral. Lineage: Bacteria; Pseudomonadati; Pseudomonadota; Alphaproteobacteria; Candidatus Pelagibacterales.